AUUAAGUGUUCAUUUUUAGUCUAGAAGGGACAGGCGUUUAUUGUGCAUUGGCCAGUGCCAGCACAUCCGAUGCAAGGCAGUUCACCGUAUUCUAUCUUUAAUUUUUACCAUGGUCCUCUGAGGUAGGUGUUCUUAUCUCUCUCUCUCUCUCUCUCUUUUAAACAGAGGAAGACAAACAUAAAGAUGAAGUGCUUAAUUCAAGGUCACACAAUGUCGGGGAUGGACCUCCAGAUUUCCUUACUGACCUGCAUUAUCUUGUGGAUACCUGAGUGAAUUCCACACCACCCAUUUUAUAGAUGAAACCACUGAGACAUGGAGCAAUUGACUGAGUAGUCACUGCCCCACCCCUGCCUGGAGCCUCACACAUGACUCGCCUCCUCUCAGUGACCACAGGUGAGACGUGGUCUUGUAACACAGUGGUUAAGAAUGUGACUUUGGAGCCAGCCUGCUAGGGGCUGAAUUCUGACUCAGCCAUUUACUAACUGUGUGACCUUAGGUAAGUCA
This 504-nucleotide long non-coding RNA is filed under the name Homo sapiens (human). RNAcentral describes it as "non-protein coding PCBP1-AS1:137". Lineage: Eukaryota; Metazoa; Chordata; Mammalia; Primates; Hominidae. The record is from RNAcentral.